Molecule: ribosomal RNA, 451 nt
Filed under: uncultured bacterium
Lineage: Bacteria
Description: bacterial SSU rRNA
Rfam family: Bacterial small subunit ribosomal RNA
Source: RNAcentral
ACUCCUACGGGAGGCAGCAGUGGGGAAUAUUGCACAAUGGGCGCAAGCCUGAUGCAGCAACGCCGCGUGAGCGAUGAAGGCCUUCGGUCGUAAAGCUCUGUCCUCAAGGAAGAAUAAAUGACGGUACUUGAGGAGGAAGCCCCGGCUAACUACGUGCCAGCAGCCGCGGUAAUACGUAGGGGGCAAGCGUUAUCCGGAAUCACUGGGGCGUAAAGGGGUGCGUAGGCGGUUUUUCAAGUCAGAAGUGAAAGGCUAUGGCUCAACCAUAGUAAGCUUUUGAAACUGUUAAACUUGAGUGCAGGAGAGGAAAGUGGAAUUCCUAGUGUAGAGGUGAAAUUCGUAGAUAUUAGGAGGAAACACCAGUGGCGAAGGCGACUUUCUGGACUGUAACUGACGCUGAGGCACGAAAGCGUGGGGAGCGAACAGGAUUAGAUACCCUGGUAGCACAGAG